RNAcentral lists this unclassified non-coding RNA (360 nucleotides) under plant metagenome. RNAcentral's name for it is "partial contains small subunit ribosomal RNA, internal transcribed spacer 1, and 5.8S ribosomal RNA". The record is from RNAcentral.
UUUCCGUAGGUGAACCUGCGGAAGGAUCAUUACCACGAAUGGAGCUGCCGCGGACGCUGAGCGCAAGCGAGGUGGUCGUGACAGUUUCCCAAAACCCAUUCCGUUUGGCGCGGGCUUUAAACCCCGCGCCCGACAGUGCACUCAUUCGUACCACAGGCGCUCGCCAGCCGUUUUUGCGAUAGCCGCGCUUCACCGCGUCGGCUUGGCUGGUUGCAGUCGUCUCAACCCAAACCAAUCGCAAAACACAAACCCAAUUCAAACCACACACCUCGGCAUGUAAACGAUGUUGCACCGCGGCUUACGCCACGGUACACUCACAAAAAACGCUUACAACUUUCAGCAACGGAUAUCUUGGCUCUU